CCUUAACAUGAUGGUUAUACUCAGUCUUAUGAACCCCUUCUUUUUGCAUCUUGUGUUCUCUAAACACAGAAAAACACAGAUUGCAAAAAGGAGCUGAAUUGAAAGAAUUCUAAACCUCAGUUCGAGUCACAGCUUGUCUAUUUCAGCCAGAAGUUUGCCAUUUUGGGUCUUGAUUCUCCACAAUUCACUGUUUUGUGUAUUGUAAAGUACUGGCAUUAUAGCCAGAGCAAGAAUUGUCCAUUUCUGGACAUAGGCUAGGUCAAGAUUUUAAUGGGAUCAAGAUGAAAUCAGAUAGGGUUAGUGACAGAUCCCUGGGGAGGAUGUGUCAGGUUUGUAGGGUCCAUUAGAGGCAAAAUCAUGUAAUCAGAUUGACCAUGCGACAUUUGUAAACACCUUGGGCAUUUUAAUAUACAGAGGAGUAUUUAGGGCAGCCUCACAAAUGUCAUUAUAGGCUUUAAGUUAAGGGGGUAAGGCCACCCUCCAUUUGUGGUGUUAUCCAUUGUACAGCGCUACGGAAUCUGAUGGCGCUAUAUAAAUAAUAAAAUAAAAUAAUAAGGCCUUAUGGUAAAAAUCCUAACAGUUUUAAUUGUAUUUUGAUAUAUCAUGGUUUGAUGAUUUAAAG
This is a non-coding RNA of Pelobates cultripes (western spadefoot toad), 622 nucleotides long. The record is from the annotation of a GenBank genome assembly. NCBI's taxonomy places the organism in Eukaryota, Metazoa, Chordata, Amphibia, Anura, Pelobatidae.